RNAcentral lists this ribosomal RNA (253 nucleotides) under uncultured bacterium. Its description in RNAcentral is "partial 16S ribosomal RNA". It matches the Rfam family "Bacterial small subunit ribosomal RNA", at positions 524 to 776 of the family's 1533-position model. The record is from RNAcentral.
UACGAAGGGGGCUAGCGUUGCUCGGAAUCACUGGGCGUAAAGCGCACGUAGGCGGCUUUUUAAGUCAGGGGCGAAAUCCUGGAGCUCAACUCCAGAACUGCCUUUGAUACUGGAAAGCUCGAGUCCGGAAGAGGUGAGUGGAACUGCGAGUGUAGAGGUGAAAUUCGUAGAUAUUCGCAAGAACACCAGUGGCGAAGGCGGCUCACUGGUCCGGUACUGACGCUGAGGCGCGAAAGCGUGGGGAGCAAACAGG